This 613-nucleotide ribosomal RNA is filed under the name Cyananthus hookeri. RNAcentral describes it as "eukaryotic LSU rRNA". The stretch from base 229 to 384 matches the Rfam family "5.8S ribosomal RNA". The record is from RNAcentral. Lineage: Eukaryota; Viridiplantae; Streptophyta; Magnoliopsida; Asterales; Campanulaceae.
ACCUGCACAGCAGAAUGACCCGCGAACUCGUCAAGAACACCGGGGGACGCCGCAUGGCCCCCCUCGUCGGUGCGUGCAACCCUUGGGGAGUGCGCAUCGGCCCCGAACAAACCCCGGCGCGGUCUGCGCCAAGGAAAACAUAACUCAAAGAGAGCGCCCCCCCUUCCCGUCACCCCGUUCGCGGCGCGUGCCUGGUUGGGUGGUUGGUUCUUAGUGAAAAACACAAACGACUCUCGGCAACGGAUAUCUCGGCUCUCGCAUCGAUGAAGAACGUAGCGAAAUGCGAUACUUGGUGUGAAUUGCAGAAUCCCGUGAACCAUCGAGUCUUUGAACGCAAGUUGCGCCCGAAGCCAUUAGGCCGAGGGCACGUCUGCAUGGGCGUCACGCAUCGCGUCGCCCCCCUCACCACAAAAAGGGAAGAGGGGGAGCGGACAAUGGCCUCCCGUGCCCUCAAGUGCGGUUGGCUCAAAUUGGAGUCCCCCGAAGGAGGACGCACGACAAGUGGUGGUUUAUUACAAUGCCCUCGCGUCGAGUCGUGCGCAUGUCCAACUCUGGGAUUUGGCUCUUGCGACCCUGAUGUGCCUUGAACUUAGGCGCUCCGACCGCGACCCCA